Molecule: ribosomal RNA, 1516 nt
Filed under: Pseudocohnilembus persalinus
Lineage: Eukaryota; Ciliophora; Oligohymenophorea; Philasterida; Pseudocohnilembidae
Description: small subunit ribosomal RNA
Rfam family: Bacterial small subunit ribosomal RNA
Source: RNAcentral
UAAUAGUAAAAAAAAUAUUAUUUAUUUUUUUUAUUUUUUUAUUAGGUUGUUAACAAUUUUUUUUUAUGAGUUUGAUCCUAGCUUGGAAUUAACGCUAAUUAGACGCAUGACACAUGCAAAUUAUAUAUAAUUUUUUCUAUAAAUUAUAUAGUGUCAAGGUGAGUAAAAUAUUUUAACUAAUUGCUAUUUAUUGUAAAUCAAUAAUAAAUUUUUUAUAAAGAGAAUAAUCGAUAGCAAAGGUUAUUAUAAGGAAUUAAGUAUUAGCAUUAUUGCUAGCUGAUAAUUUUUAGCUGGUUUGAGAGAUUGAUCAGCCACAUAAGGGUAUGAAAACCACCCUAUCUAUUCGACAGCAGUGGGGAAUUUUGGACAAUGUAUGGAAAUACGAUCCAGCGAACUAAUGGAAAUGAAGAAGAUUUUAAAAUUGUAAAGUUUAUUCGCAAAUUUAAAUUAUGCUAAAAUUUGAAAAGAAAUCAUGGCCAAUACAUGUGCCAGCAGCCGCGGUAAUACAUGAGUGAUGAGCGUUAUUCGUAUUUGCUGAGUGUAUAGUAUGCAUAGAUGAUACCAAUAUUAAUAUAUAACUAUUAUUGUAGACAAUAAUUAUAUAUUUACAUUGGUUAUAAAAAAUUAAAGAAAAACUAUUAUAAUUUAUAAUUUAGCGAUUAAAUGCAUAAAAUUUAUAUAUAAUUCCAAUAACGAAAGUUUUUAGUUUUUUUUAAUUUUUAUUGAUGCAUUAAAGUAUAGGUAAUAAAAAGGAUUUGGGACCCUUGUAAUCUAUACCGUAAAAAAUGGGUAUUUUAAUUAUUUUUAUAAUUAUAAAUUAACGUAAAAAUACCCUACUUGGAGAGUAUAAUCGCAAGAUUGAAACUUAACAGAAUUGGCGGGAAUUUGUUCGAACGGUGGAACAUGUGGUUUAAUGCGAUAAUCCACGAAAAACCUUACCAAUAUUUAAAAUUAAGUAAAAUUAAAAUAUUAAUUUAUUAUUAAGUUAACUUAAUUUCGGUACUGCAUGGCUGUCGUCAGUUCGUGUUGUGAAAUGUAGAAUUAAGUUUUUACUACGAACGUAACCUAAUUUCUAUUUAUUUUAGAUACUUUUUGUAUUUUUAACUAAUAGAUACUUUAAUUGAUCAUUCAAUUUUUUUGGUUAUAGCUGAAGUCAAGUCCUUAUGGUCUAUAUAUAUUGGGCUACACACGUGUUACAAAGGCAAAAACAAAAAGUAACGAAUACGUAAGUAAGAGUAAAUCUUAAAAAAUUGCCCUAGUUCAGAUUAUUUUAUGUAACUCUAAAAUAUGAAGUUGAAAUCGUUAGUAAUUGUAUGUAAUUAUAAUACAGUGAACUAAAAGUCAAAUUUUGCACACACUGCCCAUCACGCUCGAAAAAUUUUACUAAAUUGAAAAUAAAAUAAAAUAAAUUUUAAGUAACCUUAAAUAUUUAGUUUUAUUUGUUGUAAUUUAUUAAAGUGAUUUGAGUGAAGUUGACACAAGGUACCAGUAGGGGAACCUGUUGGUGGAAUAAAUU